Long non-coding RNA from Ochlerotatus camptorhynchus, 238 nucleotides. RefSeq lists it as uncharacterized. NCBI's taxonomy places the organism in Eukaryota, Metazoa, Arthropoda, Insecta, Diptera, Culicidae. The transcript is spliced from 3 exons. The record is from RefSeq and is a predicted model, not a curated record.
CCAUCUUCUUCAAAAUAACCGUUGUAUAGUGUAGUGUCAUAUAGUGUCCUAUGUUAAUUUAUAUUAAACUCAAUGCACCAUACAGGAAGCUCCUCCAAGCUAAACACGCUUAUCGUGGCAACAAACAAAAAAAUUUGACGACAAACGGUAGACUGUUUUACCCUUGAAAAAGGCCACAAUAAACGGCCGAAACGUCGGGCAAUGCAAAACUAACUGUUUGAAUUACCCUAGACUGAGA